RNAcentral lists this unclassified non-coding RNA (306 nucleotides) under plant metagenome. RNAcentral's name for it is "partial contains 5.8S ribosomal RNA, internal transcribed spacer 2, and large subunit ribosomal RNA". The stretch from base 1 to 105 matches the Rfam family "5.8S ribosomal RNA", at positions 50 to 154 of the family's 154-position model. The record is from RNAcentral.
GAAAUGCGAUAAGUAAUGUGAAUUGCAGAAUUCAGUGAAUCAUCGAAUCUUUGAACGCACAUUGCGCCCGCCAGUAUUCUGGCGGGCAUGCCUGUCCGAGCGUCAUUUCAACCAUCAAGCCCCCGGGCUUGUGUUGGGGACCUGCGGCUGCCCGCAGGCCCUGAAAACCAGUGGCGGGCUCGCUGUCACACCGAGCGUAGUAGCAAUCACCUCGCUAAGGGCGUGCUGCGGGUUCCGGCCGUUAAACAGCCUUACAAAACCCAAGGUUGACCUCGGAUCAGGUAGGAAGACCCGCUGAACUUAAGC